AUGCAAUUGGCGGAGGAAGAUUCCGAGCGUGAUCGCUAUAAGGGAAUCCGCCUCGCCGACGAUGAAAGACCUGUCAAAGGACCCCUAAACUCUGUCUUACAACUGUAUCUCUGAGUCUAUUAUAUAAACAAGUUAAAACUUUCAACAACGGAUCUCUUGGCUCUGGCAUCGAUGAAGAACGCAGCGAAAUGCGAUAAGUAAUGUGAAUUGCAGAAUUCAGUGAAUCAUCGAAUCUUUGAACGCACAUUGCGCCUGAUAGUAUUCUGUCAGGCAUGCCUGUUCGAGCGUCAUUUCAACCCCCAAGCCCUAAUCUGCUUGACGUUGGGAGUUUACGGAGACGUAAUUCCUCAAAUAUAGUGGCGGAGCUAGGUCGUGCUCUAAGCGUAGUAACCACACUCUCGCUUCUGCAGCCGGCCUAGGUCUUGCCGUAAAACCCCUAUAUUAUUUUUUACUGGUUGACCUCGGAUCAGGUAGGAAUACCCGCUGAACUUAAGCAUAUCAUAACCCGAA
Molecule: ribosomal RNA, 510 nt
Filed under: Biscogniauxia mediterranea
Lineage: Eukaryota; Fungi; Ascomycota; Sordariomycetes; Xylariales; Xylariaceae
Description: eukaryotic LSU rRNA
Rfam family: 5.8S ribosomal RNA (bases 137-290)
Source: RNAcentral